UACGGAUGAUGCAAGCGUUAUCCGGAAUGAUUGGGCGUAAAGCGUCCGCAGGUGGCUGUGUAAGUCUGCUGUUAAAUAGUGAGGCUCAACCUCAUAAAGGCAGUGGAAACUACACGGCUAGAGUGCGUUCGGGGCAGAGGGAAUUCCUGGUGUAGCGGUGAAAUGCGUAGAGAUCAGGAAGAACACCGGUGGCGAAAGCACUCUGCUGGGCCGACACUGACACUGAGAGACGAAAGCUAGGGGAGCGAAUGGG
This 253-nucleotide ribosomal RNA is filed under the name uncultured bacterium. Its description in RNAcentral is "partial 16S ribosomal RNA". It matches the Rfam family "Bacterial small subunit ribosomal RNA", at positions 524 to 776 of the family's 1533-position model. The record is from RNAcentral.